UUUUGUCUCCGCAGAAGCUGGAAGCCAAAUCUCUCAUCAAGCUGAACUUUGCCAAAAACAACGACGGGAAAUACCACUGCCCGGUGCUUUUCACCGUCUUCACCAAUAACUCCCACAUCGUGGCCAUCAAGACCACCGGGAACGUCUUUGGUUUUGAGGCGGUUGAGCAGCUGAAUAUAAAAACCAAGACCUUUAAGGAUCUGUUGAGCGAUGAGCCCUUUUCCAGGCAAGAUAUUAUUACAUUGCAGGUAAAGUUUUAAAAAGAAUGAAACGGGUUUUGGUUUUGGCA
Molecule: non-coding RNA, 289 nt
Organism: Pseudonaja textilis
Lineage: Eukaryota; Metazoa; Chordata; Lepidosauria; Squamata; Elapidae
Source: RefSeq, a predicted model, not a curated record